GCCAUAAGUCACAUUUUUAUUAUAUCGUAUAGUAGCCUUAUAUUAUGCCAUCCAUCCAUCUAUUUUUUUUUUUUUUUUUAUUUUAGGUGUUUGCUGCGUUUGUUUUACUGAGCAACUUUAUAAACCUAAAUCUAACAGGAUUUUUAUUAUAUUUAUGUGCACGUAACACGAGAUCUAUAAUAACAAACAUAACGUUCUAUGAGUAUUUAAAAAGACCAAGACACAUAAAAGAUAAUUACAACACUGAGUUACAAUGCUGGGAUUUUCAAAAUUUAAGCCUUAUAAAAAUUUUAAAAAAUAUAUAUUACUUUUGGUCGUUAAAUUAUGACGAACCAUAUUUCAGAAAAAAUGAACAAUCGGUAAUUGCUUUUUUAUUGUGCAUACGUAUAUGUACGUGCAUAUAUACACGUGUACAUAUAUACAUAUAUAUACAUAUAUAUCUAUGCUGUAUAUUUUUAAUUUUUAAUUUUUUUUUUAGAUGGAUAAGUCUCAUUAUACACUACUUCCGAACGACGUAUAAGAAAAGAACAUUUUUACAGCCUUAUUAUUUGAAUUAUAACAGUUUAAAAAAAAAAAAAAAAAAAAAACACGACUAAACUUAUGUCAUACUGUGUUCUUUCAGUGCACACUUAAUUUUAUAUUUAUAGUAAUAGCACUACAUCCCUGAUAUAUAUAUAUAUAUAUAUAUAUUAUAUUUUUUGUUUACUACGAAGUAUUAGUAACGAUAUACUCGCAAAGGGAUAAAUCAGACCAAUAAAUAAAAUUUACUUGGUAAAAAUACA
This 782-nucleotide long non-coding RNA is filed under the name Piliocolobus tephrosceles (Ugandan red Colobus). RNAcentral's name for it is "lncRNA (ENSPTEG00000005647.1)". The record is from RNAcentral. Lineage: Eukaryota; Metazoa; Chordata; Mammalia; Primates; Cercopithecidae.